GACGAACGCUGGCGGCGUGCUUAACACAUGCAAGUCGAACGGAAAGGCCCUGCUUUUGUGGGGUGCUCGAGUGGCGAACGGGUGAGUAACACGUGAGUAACCUGCCCUUGACUUUGGGAUAACUUCAGGAAACUGGGGCUAAUACCGGAUAGGAGCUCCUGCUGCAUGGUGGGGGUUGGAAAGUUUCGGCGGUUGGGGAUGGACUCGCGGCUUAUCAGCUUGUUGGUGGGGUAGUGGCUUACCAAGGCUUUGACGGGUAGCCGGACUGAGAGGGUGACCGGCCACAUUGGGACUGAGAAACGGCCCAGACUCCUACGGGAGGCAGCAGUGGGGAAUAUUGCACAAUGGGCGGAAGCCUGAUGAAGCAACGCCGCGUGCGGGAUGACGGCCUUCGGGUUGUAAACCGCUUUCGCCUGUGACGAAGCGUGAGUGACGGUAAUGGGUAAAGAAGCACCGGCUAACUACGUG
This 468-nucleotide ribosomal RNA is filed under the name uncultured bacterium. RNAcentral's name for it is "partial 16S ribosomal RNA". It matches the Rfam family "Bacterial small subunit ribosomal RNA", at positions 28 to 507 of the family's 1533-position model. The record is from RNAcentral.